Halichondria panicea is the source of this 1356-nucleotide long non-coding RNA. RefSeq lists it as uncharacterized. The record is from RefSeq and is a predicted model, not a curated record. Lineage: Eukaryota; Metazoa; Porifera; Demospongiae; Suberitida; Halichondriidae. The transcript is spliced from 5 exons.
GUUUCCGGUUUGGCUGUUUUCUCAAUAUUUCUUACAAAUCAUAAGCGACUGUAGUAAACUGAUUCUUCAGCUAACAGCUAUAUAUACUGAAAGCAAAGCAAACACUGUGAUUAUACCAUAAUUAUAGCCAUGCAGGUUCAUGCCAGUCAUCUACUUUUGUUGCUAUUCAACAUAUCAGCGCUAGCUGAAUGCUUCACAUCUUCAGAAAAUUUGUUUGGUGCAACAAAAGAGAGCUACACAUGUCCAGGUGAGACAGUGGAACUCAUUUGUAACAUGGAUUGCUUAACUUCGUAUUGGAUUAUUGAUGGAACGUAUUACUACUGGCAAGAUUUGCUGCCUGUAGGAUAUACCUACAGGUUUCCAUCCACUCUCAUCUUGGAUGCAGUCAAUGCAGAUCUGAAUUUUACUAGGUAUCAGUGCCUUGCCUGCAAUAUCGAAAGCUCCAUAAUCACUUUAGUUGUUUUAGGUACCUGUCCUGUCAAUGUUUACAAUCAAUCCAAAGUAACAUUAACGGCUACACUUGAUUGUGAUAUCAUAAGUAAGACGACACAUGCUGGUAUCAGUUCUACUGACUCAGACUCUAUGACAUCCUCGACUCAUUUUAAACCAAUUGCAACAAUCGGUCCAUCUUCAAGUAACAGUAUGCCUAGAGGCACAACAUCACUUUUAGCACCAAUUAAUCGAAGUACAACAGUGCAUAGCAUUGCACCCACAUCUCUAUGUGACGUAGAAAGCUGUGUGUAUAACUCUUCAGGUACACUGUAAAAAAUGAUGUGUGGUUUUCACGCAAGUGCGUGACUAUUGUGGCAACUAUCAGGAAAAAACGCAAGAAAAAACGCACAUUUGCCACAAUAGCCACGCACUCUGCGUGAAAACCACACAUCAUUUUUUACAGUGUAUAACUUGUAAGCCCUUAUUUCAUUUAACACAGGACAUGCAGUAUAUAAUUAUAAUGUCUGAUAUUAUUAGUGGCCAUGGGAGUAUUAGCAGGAAGUAUCAGUGGCGCACUUUUCAUCUUGUUGUGCACUGGUCUCACUGUGAUUUGUAUUUCAAUCAGACGACGUCAUGUUAAAAAAGACCGAACAAGUCAUAUAUAUGAUGAGGUGCAAUCUCCCGAGACAAUUGAACCUGUGUACAGCGUUGUAAACACAAUUAACAAUCGUCAACUUCAAGAUGUGAAAAUGAUUAACAACGAAUGUUAUACUAUCCCCCAAAAGAACAACAGCACACAAUUUGAAAUAAGCUACUGUUCAGCUUACGAACUGUGACUUCUUAUCGAUCGUAACACAAUAUUCUAGUAUGCAUGCAUGCAUGUAUAAUUAACUCCACGCAUAUAUAAAACAUAUAUUUUAUAAU